AUUGAACGCUGGCGGCAGGCCUAACACAUGCAAGUCGAACGAGCGGCGGACGGGUGAGUAAUGUAUGGGGAUCUGCCUGCUAGAGGGGGAUAACUACUGGAAACGGUAGCUAAUACCGCAUACCAACAGAUGAACCCAAAUGGGAUUAGCUUGUUGGUGGGGUAACGGCUCACCAAGGCGACGAUACCUAGCUGGUCUGAGAGGAUGACCAGCCACACUUGAACGGAGACACGGGCCAGACUCCUACGGGAGGCAGCAGUGGGGAAUAUUGCACAAGGGGCGCAAGCCUGAUGCAGCCAUGCCGCGUGUAUGAAGAAGGCCUUAGGGUUGUAAAGUACUUUCAGCGGGGAGGCGUUACCCGCAGAAGAAGCACCGGCUAACUCCGUGCCAGCAGCCGCGGUAAUAC
This 406-nucleotide ribosomal RNA is filed under the name uncultured bacterium. Its description in RNAcentral is "partial 16S ribosomal RNA". It matches the Rfam family "Bacterial small subunit ribosomal RNA", at positions 30 to 526 of the family's 1533-position model. The record is from RNAcentral.